Molecule: ribosomal RNA, 846 nt
Filed under: uncultured bacterium
Lineage: Bacteria
Description: bacterial SSU rRNA
Rfam family: Bacterial small subunit ribosomal RNA
Source: RNAcentral
UUACACAUGCAAGUCGAGCGGCAGCGCGGGGGCAACCCUGGCGGCGAGCGGCGAACGGGUGAGUAAUGCAUCGGAACGUGUCCUCUUGUGGGGGAUAACCAGUCGAAAGACUGGCUAAUACCGCAUGAGAUCGAGAGAUGAAAGCAGGGGACCGCAAGGCCCUGCGCGAGAGGAGCGGCCGAUGCCGGAUUAGCUAGUUGGUGGGGUAACGGCCUACCAAGGCGACGAUCCGUAGCUGGUCUGAGAGGACGACCAGCCACACUGGGACUGAGACACGGCCCAGACUCCUACGGGAGGCAGCAGUGGGGAAUUUUGGACAAUGGGGGCAACCCUGAUCCAGCCAUGCCGCGUGUGUGAAGAAGGCCUUCGGGUUGUAAAGCACUUUCGGACGGAACGAAAUCGCGCGGGUUAAUAGUCCGCGUGGAUGACGGUACCGUAAGAAGAAGCACCGGCUAACUACGUGCCAGCAGCCGCGGUAAUACGUAGGGUGCGAGCGUUAAUCGGAAUUACUGGGCGUAAAGUGUGCGCAGGCGGCUCUGCAAGUCGAGUGUGAAAUCCCCGAGCUUAACUUGGGAAUUGCGCUCGAAACUACGGAGCUGGAGUGUGGCAGAGGAAGGUGGAAUUCCACGUGUAGCGGUGAAAUGCGUAGAUAUGUGGAGGAACACCGAUGGCGAAAGCAGCCUUCUGGGCCAACACUGACGCUCAUGCACGAAAGCGUGGGGAGCAACAGAUAGAUACCCUGGUAGUCCACGCCCUAACGAUGAUGACUAGUUGUUGGAGGAGUAAAUCCUUUAGUACGCAGCUACGCGUGAGUCAUCCCCUGGGGAGUACGUCGCAGAUAAACUC